Molecule: ribosomal RNA, 253 nt
Filed under: uncultured bacterium
Lineage: Bacteria
Description: partial 16S ribosomal RNA
Rfam family: Bacterial small subunit ribosomal RNA
Source: RNAcentral
GACGGAGGGUGCUAGCGUUGUUCGGAAUUACUGGGCGUAAAGGGCGCGUAGGCGGCCUGUUAAGUCGGACGUGAAAUCCCUCGGCUCAACCGGGGAACUGCGUCCGAUACUGGCGGGCUUGAAUUCGGGAGAGGGAUGUGGAAUUCCAGGUGUAGCGGUGAAAUGCGUAGAUAUCUGGAGGAACACCGGUGGCGAAGGCGGCAUCCUGGACCGACAUUGACGCUGAGGCGCGAAAGCCAGGGGAGCAAACGGG